RNAcentral lists this ribosomal RNA (223 nucleotides) under uncultured bacterium. RNAcentral's name for it is "partial 16S ribosomal RNA". It matches the Rfam family "Bacterial small subunit ribosomal RNA", at positions 524 to 746 of the family's 1533-position model. The record is from RNAcentral.
UACGAAGGGGCUAGCGUUGUUCGGAAUUACUGGGCGUAAAGCGCACGUAGGCGGAUUGUUAAGUUAGGGGUGAAAUCCCGGGGCUCCAACCCCGGAACUGCCUUUAAUACUGGCAAUCUCGAGUCCGAGAGAGGUGAGUGGAAUUCCGAGUGUAGAGGUGAAAUUCGUAGAUAUUCGGAGGAACACCAGUGGCGAAGGCGGCUCACUGGCUCGGUACUGACGC